RNAcentral lists this long non-coding RNA (1235 nucleotides) under Ananas comosus (pineapple). RNAcentral's name for it is "long non-coding RNA (ACOM_LNC035970)". The record is from RNAcentral. Lineage: Eukaryota; Viridiplantae; Streptophyta; Magnoliopsida; Poales; Bromeliaceae.
CCGAAUAAAUUAUUUAGUGAUAACUUACACUACAACAGAAUUAGAUUAUAGAGACACAUUUUUUAGACACUUUUAUAUAAGUGUCCCAUUUAUACUAAAACUUUUAAAAAAGUCAACUAAGGCCUAACUAUAAAGUCCAAUCCAACAAAAAAUAAAAAAGUUACUCUGCUCAACCCAUCCCACCUAGCCCAUUUGGCCUAAUUAUAAAAUAGAAAAGAAAAAGAAAAAAAAAAUCGAUCACCAUCUCCCCUUCUCUCCUCACUCAAUUCACUGAAAUCUUAAACGAAGACCCUUCGCUCUCCUCCUCCUCUGCCACCGCAGCCAACGAGGUAGAGUUCCAGCUGUUGCUAAAUACUUAAAUAAGUGUUCGUAAAUUAGCAGCAUUCUUUUUAGAUUAUACCAACACUCUUAAACUAUCACUGUAUACCUAUCAUCUCCACAUAUAACAAUAUUUUUUAAAGUGUCGGUAAUUUAGCCGGCAGCAAUUUUUUUUAUCUAUACCGACAUUUAAAAGUGUCGCUAUACAUCGUUUUUAUUGUAGUGUUAUUUGGAAUUAGAAUUUUCUUGUGUGAUUGAAGAUGUUCGAUUUUUGCUAUUUAACUGUUUUGACAUUUGUAAUUUGAUAAUAUAACAUAUUUCAUCUAUAAAGUAACUUAUCUUAUUCUGAAAAAAUGACUAAAAUGCUAGAUAUAUUCACUACAACAGAAUUAGGUUAUAGGGACACAUGUUUGGGACACUUUUGAAUAAGUGUCCCAUUUAUGCUAAAACUUAAAAACACAUCUACUAAUGCCUAAAUAUAAAGCCUAAUCCAACCAAAAAUAAAAGAUUACUCUACACAACCCACCACACCCACUUCAUUUGGCCCGAUUACAAACAGAAAAGAAAAAAAAUAGAAAAAUCAAUUACCAUCUUUUCUUCUCUUUUCACUCAAUCCACUGAAAUUCUAGAUGAAGAGCCUUUACUGUCGUCCUCCUCCGCCACCGCAGCCAACGAGAUAGAGUUUCGACGGUUGUUAAAUGCUUAAAUAAGUGUUGGUAAAUUAGCAGCACUCUUUUAGGUUAUAGCGACACUCUUUAACUGUCACUAUAUACCUAGCGACCCCACAUAUAGCAACACUUUUUAAAAGUGUCGGUAAUUUUAACUAGCAGCAUUUUUUUAACAUGUACCUACAUUUAAAAGUGUCGCUAUAGACCGUUUUUGUUGUAGUGUAUGAUAUUCCAUUUUAUACAUUUUAU